Molecule: transfer RNA, 87 nt
Organism: Chaetomium globosum CBS 148.51
Lineage: Eukaryota; Fungi; Ascomycota; Sordariomycetes; Sordariales; Chaetomiaceae
Rfam family: tRNA
About the family: Transfer RNA (tRNA) molecules are approximately 80 nucleotides in length. Their secondary structure includes four short double-helical elements and three loops (D, anti-codon, and T loops). Further hydrogen bonds mediate the characteristic L-shaped molecular structure. tRNAs have two regions of fundamental functional importance: the anti-codon, which is responsible for specific mRNA codon recognition, and the 3' end, to which the tRNAs corresponding amino acid is attached (by aminoacyl-tRNA synthetases). tRNAs cope with the degeneracy of the genetic code in two manners: having more than one tRNA (with a specific anti-codon) for a particular amino acid; and 'wobble' base-pairing, i.e. permitting non-standard base-pairing at the 3rd anti-codon position.
Source: Rfam
GGGCGUAUGGUCUAGUGGUAUGAUUUCUGUUUUGCAAGGAAAUUUCUUGAAUACAGACGGUCCCGCGUUCGAUCCGCGGUACGUCCA